Molecule: ribosomal RNA, 457 nt
Filed under: Synoeca cyanea
Lineage: Eukaryota; Metazoa; Arthropoda; Insecta; Hymenoptera; Vespidae
Description: partial large subunit ribosomal RNA
Rfam family: Bacterial large subunit ribosomal RNA (bases 332-457)
Source: RNAcentral
AGUCUUUCUGCCCAUUGAAAUUAAAAGGCUGCGGUAUUUUAACUGUACAAAGGUAGCAAAGUCAAUAGUUUUUUAAUUGAAAGCUUGAAUGAAUGAGUUGAUAAGAUAUUAAUUGUCUCAGUAAUUGAAUUUAAAUUAAAAGUUAAAAUGCUUUUAUUAAUUUAUUAGACGAUAAGACCCUAAGAAUUUAAUUAUAAAUUUUGAUUGAAAAUUAUAAAAAUGAUUUAAUAAUUUUAUUGGGAGGAUAAUUAAAUUGAACUUUAAUUUAAAUAAAUAUUAAUAAAUAAAUUUAAUGAUUAAUAUAAAGAUUAAAAGAAUAAAUUACCUUAGGGAUAACAGCGUAAUAAUUUUGGAGAGUUCAUAUUGAUAAAAUUGUUUACGACCUCGAUGUUGAAUUAAAAUAAAAAUUAAAUGGAGAAAUUUAAAUUUUUAGUCUGUUCGACUAUUAAAAUUUUAC